AGAGUUUGAUCAUGGCUCAGAACGUACGCUGGCGGCACGCCUAACACAUGCAAGUCGAACGAAGUAGCAAUACUUAGUGGCAGACGGGUGAGUAACAUGUAGGUAUCUGCCCUUUGGCCUGGAAUAACACGAGGAAACUUGUGCUAAUACCGGAUAAGUCUUUACGGAGAAAGCUUUAUGCACCAUUGGAUGAGCCUGCACUUGAUUAGUUUGUUGGUGGGGUAAUGGCCUACCAAGACUGUGAUCAAUAGCUGAUUUGAGAGGAUGAUCAGCCACAUUGGGACUGAGACACGGCCCAAACUCCUACGGGAGGCAGCAGUGGGGAAUCUUGCACAAUGGAGGAAACUCUGAUGCAGCGAUGCCGCGUGAGUGAAGAAGGCCUUUGGGUUGUAAAGCUCUUUCGUCGGGGAAGAAAAUGACUGUACCCGAAUAAGAAGGUCCGGCUAACUUCGUGCCAGCAGCCGCGGUAAUACGAAGGGACCUAGCGUAGUUCGGAAUUACUGGGCUUAAAGAGUUCGUAGGUGGUUGAAAAAGUUGGUGGUGAAAUCCCAGAGCUUAACUCUGGAACUGCCAUCAAAACUUUUCAGCUAGAGUAUGAUAGAGGAAAGCAGAAUUUCUAGUGUAGAGGUGAAAUUCGUAGAUAUUAGAAAGAAUACCAAUUGCGAAGGCAGCUUUCUGGAUCAUUACUGACACUGAGGAACGAAAGCAUGGGUAGCGAAGAGGAUUAGAUACCCUCGUAGUCCAUGCCGUAAACGAUGUGUGUUAGACGUUGGAAAUUUAUUUUCAGCGUCGCAGCGAAAGCGAUAAACACACCGCCUGGGGAGUACGACCGCA
Molecule: ribosomal RNA, 834 nt
Filed under: uncultured Alphaproteobacteria bacterium
Lineage: Bacteria; Pseudomonadati; Pseudomonadota; Alphaproteobacteria
Description: bacterial SSU rRNA
Rfam family: Bacterial small subunit ribosomal RNA
Source: RNAcentral